This 468-nucleotide ribosomal RNA is filed under the name uncultured bacterium. RNAcentral's name for it is "bacterial SSU rRNA". It matches the Rfam family "Bacterial small subunit ribosomal RNA", at positions 40 to 507 of the family's 1533-position model. The record is from RNAcentral.
CGGCGUGCUUAAUACAUGCAAGUCAACUGAAGCACCGGUAGUAAUACUGGUGUGGAGGUGGCGCACGGGUGAGUAACACGUAGGUAAUCUGCCUUCAGGUCUGACAUAACCCCGAGAAAUCGGGGCUAAUAGCAGAUGAUGCAGCGGCUUGACAUCAAGACAGUUGUUAAAGCUUCGGCGCCUGAAGAUGAGCCUGCGUCUGAUUAGCUAGUUGGCGGAGUAAUGGCCCACCAAGGCUACGAUCAGUAACUGGUCUGAGAGGAUGAUCAGUCACACUGGAACUGAGACACGGUCCAGACUCCUACGGGAGGCAGCAGUAAGGAAUAUUGCUCAAUGGGAGAAAUCCUGAAGCAGCAACGCCGCGUGAGGGAUGAAGGGCUUUUGCUCGUAAACCUCUGUAGUGAGGGAAAAAUUUCCACUCUGUGGAAUAUGAUGGUACCUCAAAAGUAAGCCCCGGCUAACUACGUG